UAGGGUCCAUUUAAUGCCCGAACCGUUAAAUAUAUAGCGAUACUAUAGCCGGUUAAAUUAUCUGAAGUUUUUAUUUUUCAAAAUAUGAUGUCGGGCUGUCCAUCUUCCCUCUCUUCUCAGCCAACUAUUCUACACAGACCACCAUAACCCACCUAGCUUCUUCCCCGGUUUGUGUGAUCGGAGGAUCAAAAGAACGGAGCAAACCCCCUUCUUUUCCUAUAUAUAGACUAAUCCAUAGCCUAUUUUGGAUAAAUCCUAAAUUCUAGGAGAUUUGUCCCGUCCAUCUCAUCUCCCCGCCGCCACUUCUCGCCCCCUCCUCGGAUCUGCCGCCAGCCUCCACCCACCAAAUCCCACGACCCAAGCCACAACCACCCCCAUCCGCUUCUCUGAACCGUUGGAUGUAAGAUCGAAUGGUCGGGAGAGCUCCCCUGCAGCCUCCCAGAUCCACCCGCUCCAGACCGAGAGGAGCUCGAUCUCGAGGUCGACCCUGAGCUCCUCCUGGGUCAACACCUCCAGCUCCAUCGGUCAGCCCUUGCCGGAGCAAGUCAGCACCUCGUCGGCACCUCUCUCCUUCCUCUAAUUAUGUCCCCUUCUUGUUUGCUUCUUCGCUGUCAGGCACACAUCAGAGCUCGCCCUCUGCUUCUUGGGUGCCGUUGGAGUUGCCAUGACACUGUCGGUCCCGCAAAGUCCCAUGCCUCCUCGAGCUUCUCCUCCGAUGGAGCCCUCUUCACCUCAUCCAUGAACUGUUGGAUCCGGUCCCGCCAAACCUCCCUUGCAGUGUCGCCAUCGCCGCCAAGCUCGGCCCCACCCUCGCUGACCACUCUCCGGAACCGCAGGAGCAGCCAUGGAAGCCCAAAGCUCCUGCCCGGUCCGGCCCCGGCCUCUGCCUCCUCAUUCGGCCUCCAGCGCCACGCCCCCGACCUCUCGCUGACCCGUCGGCCACCGCGUCGCUGGAGUUGGAGUCGUGGUUGCUACCGAUGCUGCCCUCUUUGUGGGAGAAUGACUCCGCUCGAGCCCCUCCGCCCGUUGACCGAUGUCUAGGCCGCGCCCAGCCGCUCCCCGUGGCCCAUCCCGUCCUCGUGCCCGAUGGCCGAGUUCGCCGGCCUCCUCUCCUCCAUGGGCUGAAGCCCAUGAGGUGGGGCCCCAACCCAACUUGUCUUCGUUAUUAUUCACGUAGAGCGAUCAAUAGUUAUCAUGUGCGCAUAGGGCUAGGUCUGUUUCGGCCCAGUGCCAUUUUUUUGCAGUGCGAAUUUAACCAAUUAUCCAUGAUUU
This is a long non-coding RNA of Hordeum vulgare subsp. vulgare (domesticated barley), 1272 nucleotides long. RefSeq lists it as uncharacterized. The record is from RefSeq and is a predicted model, not a curated record. The transcript has 2 exons. Lineage: Eukaryota; Viridiplantae; Streptophyta; Magnoliopsida; Poales; Poaceae.